GGUUAAGCGACUAAGCGUACACGGUGGAUGCCUAGGCAGUCAGAGGCGAUGAAGGGCGUGCUAAUCUGCGAAAAGCGUCGGUAAGGUGAUAUGAACCGUUAUAACCGACGAUACCCGAAUGGGGAAACCCAGUGCAAUUCGUUGCACUAUUGCAUGGUGAAUACAUAGCCAUGCAAGGCGAACCGGGGGAACUGAAACAUCUAAGUACCCCGAGGAAAAGAAAUCAACCGAGAUUCCCCCAGUAGCGGCGAGCGAACGGGGAGGAGCCCAGAACCUGAAUCAGCGUAUGUGUUAGUGGAAGCGUCUGGAAAGUCGCACGGUACAGGGUGAUAGUCCCGUACACAAAAAUGCAUAUGUUGUGAGUUCGAUGAGUAGGGCGGGACACGUGACAUCCUGUCUGAAUAUGGGGGGACCAUCCUCCAAGGCUAAAUACUCCUGACUGACCGAUAGUGAACCAGUACCGUGAGGGAAAGGCGAAAAGAACCCCGGCGAGGGGAGUGAAACAGAACCUGAAACCGUGUACGUACAAGCAGUGGGAGCACCUUCGUGGUGUGACUGCGUACCUUUUGUAUAAUGGGUCAGCGACUUAUAUUUUGUAGCAAGGUUAACCGAAUAGGGGAGCCGUAGGGAAACCGAGUCUUAACUGGGCGAAUAGUUGCAAGGUAUAGACCCGAAACCCGGUGAUCUAGCCAUGGGCAGGUUGAAGGUUGGGUAACACUAACUGGAGGACCGAACCGACUAAUGUUGAAAAAUUAGCGGAUGACUUGUGGCUGGGGGUGAAAGGCCAAUCAAACCGGGAGAUAGCUGGUUCUCCCCGAAAGCUAUUUAGGUAGCGCCUCGUGAACUCAUCUUCGGGGGUAGAGCACUGUUUCGGCUAGGGGGUCAUCCCGACUUACCAAACCGAUGCAAACUCCGAAUACCGAAGAAUGUUAUCACGGGAGACACACGGCGGGUGCUAACGUCCGUCGUGAAGAGGGAAACAACCCAGACCGCCAGCUAAGGUCCCAAAGUCAUGGUUAAGUGGGAAACGAUGUGGGAAGGCACAGACAGCCAGGAUGUUGGCUUAGAAGCAGCCAUCAUUUAAAGAAAGCGUAAUAGCUCACUGGUCGAGUCGGCCUGCGCGGAAGAUGUAACGGGGCUAAACCAUGCACCGAAGCUGCGGCAGCGAACGUAUCACUUAAAACGCUUAACGUGACGGCAAAGCCGGCAUGUUCAAGCCACACUAAACGUUGAGUUGGCCGAUGUGCUGACAAACGAACAGGCGUUUUAAGGAUACGUUCGUUGGGUAGGGGAGCGUUCUGUAAGCCGUUGAAGGUGGCCUGUGAGGGUUGCUGGAGGUAUCAGAAGUGCGAAUGCUGACAUAAGUAACGAUAAUGCGGGUGAAAAACCCGCACGCCGGAAGACCAAGGGUUCCUGUCCAACGUUAAUCGGGGCAGGGUGAGUCGACCCCUAAGGCGAGGCUGAAAAGCGUAGUCGAUGGGAAACAGGUUAAUAUUCCUGUACUUGGUGUUACUGCGAAGGGGGACGGAGAAGGCUAGGCUAGCCGGGCGACGGUUGUCCCGGUUUAAGCAUGUAGGCGGAGUGACCAGGUAAAUCCGGUUGCUUAUCAACGCUGAGGUGUGAUGACGAUGCACUACGGUGCAGAAGUAGUUGAUGCCAUGCUUCCAGGAAAAGCCUCUAAGCAUCAGGUAACAUGAAAUCGUACCCCAAACCGACACAGGUGGUCAGGUAGAGAAUACUCAGGCGCUUGAGAGAACUCGGGUGAAGGAACUAGGCAAAAUGGUGCCGUAACUUCGGGAGAAGGCACGCUGGCAUUAGGUAAAGGGACUUGCUCCCGGCGCCGAAGCCAGUCGCAGAUACCAGCUGGCUGCAACUGUUUAAUAAAAACACAGCACUGUGCAAACACGAAAGUGGACGUAUACGGUGUGACGCCUGCCCGGUGCUGGAAGGUUAAUUGAUGGGGUCAGCCGCAAGGCGAAGCUCUUGAUCGAAGCCCCAGUAAACGGCGGCCGUAACUAUAACGGUCCUAAGGUAGCGAAAUUCCUUGUCGGGUAAGUUCCGACCUGCACGAAUGGCGUAAUGAUGGCCAGGCUGUCUCCACCCGAGACUCAGUGAAAUUGAACUCGCUGUGAAGAUGCAGUGUACCCGCGGCAAGACGGAAAGACCCCGUGAACCUUUACUAUAGCUUGACACUGAACAUUGAGCCUUGAUGUGUAGGAUAGGUGGGAGGCAUAGAAGUGUGGACGCCAGUCUGCAUGGAGCCAACCUUGAAAUACCACCCUUUAAUGUUUGAUGUUCUAACUCGGCCCCGUAAUCCGGGGUGAGGACAGUGUCUGGUGGGUAGUUUGACUGGGGCGGUCUCCUCCCAAAGAGUAACGGAGGAGCACGAAGGUUAGCUAAUCACGGUCGGACAUCGUGAGGUUAGUGCAAAGGCAUAAGCUAGCUUGACUGCGAGAGUGACGGCUCGAGCAGGUACGAAAGUAGGUCUUAGUGAUCCGGUGGUUCUGAAUGGAAGGGCCAUCGCUCAACGGAUAAAAGGUACUCCGGGGAUAACAGGCUGAUACCGCCCAAGAGUUCAUAUCGACGGCGGUGUUUGGCACCUCGAUGUCGGCUCAUCACAUCCUGGGGCUGAAGUAGGUCCCAAGGGUAUGGCUGUUCGCCAUUUAAAGUGGUACGCGAGCUGGGUUUAGAACGUCGUGAGACAGUUCGGUCCCUAUCUGCCGUGGGCGUUGGAAGAUUGAGAGGGGCUGCUCCUAGUACGAGAGGACCGGAGUGGACGAAUCACUGGUGUUCGGGUUGUCAUGCCAAUGGCAUUGCCCGGUAGCUAAAUUCGGAAGAGAUAACCGCUGAAAGCAUCUAAGCGGGAAACUUGCCUCGAGAUGAGUCUUCCCUGGGGCUUUAAGCCCCCUGAAGGAACGUUAAAGACGACGACGUUGAUAGGCUGGGUGUGUAAGUGCAGCGAUGCAUUGAGCUAACCAGUACUAAUGAACCGUGAGGCUUAACCUU
Molecule: ribosomal RNA, 3006 nt
Filed under: Yersinia enterocolitica
Lineage: Bacteria; Pseudomonadati; Pseudomonadota; Gammaproteobacteria; Enterobacterales; Yersiniaceae
Description: 23S ribosomal RNA
Rfam family: Bacterial large subunit ribosomal RNA
Source: RNAcentral